RNAcentral lists this small RNA (117 nucleotides) under Anaerococcus obesiensis. RNAcentral describes it as "Streptococcus sRNA SpR18". It matches the Rfam family "Streptococcus sRNA SpR18". The record is from RNAcentral. Lineage: Bacteria; Bacillati; Bacillota; Tissierellia; Tissierellales; Peptoniphilaceae.
AUAAUUAAAGAUAAGCAAUGUGAAUUAAAAUGGGAACAUUUGUAAAAAAGAAUAAAUUGAAUAAUAGUUCCAAGUACUUUACAUUUGGACAAAAAAUUAGACCGUAGCUUCAAGCUG